RNAcentral lists this unclassified non-coding RNA (337 nucleotides) under soil metagenome. RNAcentral's name for it is "partial contains 5.8S ribosomal RNA, internal transcribed spacer 2, and large subunit ribosomal RNA". The stretch from base 1 to 120 matches the Rfam family "5.8S ribosomal RNA", at positions 35 to 154 of the family's 154-position model. The record is from RNAcentral.
GAUGAAGAACGCAGCGAAAUGCGAUAAGUAGGGUGAAUUGCAGAAUUCAGUGAAUUAUCGAAUCUUUGAACGCACAUUGCGCCCCUUGGUAUUCCAUGGGGCAUGCCUGUUCGAGCGUCAUUUGUACCUUCAAGCUCUGCUUGGUGUUGGGUGUUUGUCUCGCCUCUGCGUGUAGACUCGCCUCAAAACAAUUGGCAGCCGGCGUAUUGAUUUCGGAGCGCAGUACAUCUCGCGCUUUGCACUCAUAACGACGACGUCCAAAAGUACAUUUUUACACUCUUGACCUCGGAUCAGGUAGGGAUACCCGCUGAACUUAAGCAUAUCAAUAAGCGGAGGA